CGCACGAACGCAAAUGCACGAGGGUCAGUGUAUUGUGUUCUUCAAAUGACGUGUUUGCAUAAAAUAAAUAAUAUUAGUUUCUAUAUGCAUUGAUUAUAACAAUUAAUAAUUUGAAUGAAAUUUAUAUUUAUUUAGAAUGAAAAACCAAUCAAAUCUAAUACUAUUUUUUGAAUCAAUAGCAUAAGUAUUUGAAAAAAAGGAAAUUACAUUCAGAUCUAUGACUGAUUUUAUCAGUACGGAAAACAUUAAAACGAGUCAGUCUUGAAGAAACCGCUGAGUUGAAAAGUUGUCACACAAAUUAUUUCCAAUCUAUUUGAAAAUGAAAAAAAAACUAAAAAAAUGUUAGAGUGAAUAAGUAAACUUAUAAAGUGGCAAAAAUCAUCAAGUGAUCGACAAAGAAAUUUGAUAAAGUGUUGGAAAUCGUUAGAUUGGGUAAGUAAAAAAAUAUUUGCCAGAAAAGUAUUAACCAUAUUCGGUAAAUUAAAUUAAAUUUAUUUCUUCUUUUAAGCUAAAAUGGAAUGUCAAACUUUUUAUUAUUUUAUUUAAAUUUAAAAUUCGUCGUAAGAAUUUUUUAUUAUUUAAUACUUUACUAACGAUUUGUAAUUUUCAAUAUUUUUCAAGUUCAAUCGAUCAUCCUGAUUGCAAGUCAUUGUUGAUUGGAAACGUCCGUGAGCAGAAGCUGGAAAAUUAUCCCCAUCUGUUUUAUCGAACUACUUUUCUUCAAAAAUUCCAUCUAGGAGAGACCUAAAUAGUAUCAAGGACAAUCAUUGUCUUUUCCAUGGAAUUGGAAAAGUGAUUCGCAGAUAGCAGCAGAACUCAGAGCAAACAGUAAAGGCCGUAAAUCUGCAAAACACAACUUAGAAAAGUGAGCGCUGUAAUAAAAGUAGACGAGGAGCACUACCACUGAUCAAAUUUCAUUAUGUCAUCGUUUAUCUUUACGGGGCAAAACACAAUCAGUCUUUUGAAAUAUCUUAUUUCUUCUGAAACUGGUAAACACAAUUGGGAGAAAGCAGAAGAACAUACAUCCAAAAGCUGAGAAGAAGACUUCACGAAACUACUAGAAAGUCGUGCAACACCCCAUAGAAAUUAAUGUAAUACAAUUUUAUUGUGAAUACACAUUAUUUAUGUCAAAUAAAUUUAUUUUUGAAAUCAUAGCAAGAGUUUUUUAAAUAUACCCUGGUACUGUUAUAUCUACCCGAGAAUAUUAUUUGAUUUAAUGUGGAGGAAUAUCAAAGCAAACAUAUUUGCCAUUGAAUCUAUGGUAAAGUACAUUUAAAUAUACCAAGGAAAUUUUUAAUUUUACCCAUUGUGUAUUUAAAUUAAUGGUAAAUCGUGGUUAAAACAAAUAUUUCUACUAUUGAAACUAUGGUAGUGUUACCCAGAAAUUUUUGAUUCUACCCAUGAAAGUGUUUAAAAUCCACUUUAGAAAUAAAGUGCAAAUGUAUUUGAUUUAAAAGACAUGUUUUCUUUUCAAAUACAGUGCCAUUCAAAAUAAAUACAAAUAUAUUUGUUGUGGCUAUGAUUACUGCCUUUCAGAUCAAAUGUAAAAAUAUUUGAAGUAAAAGUCAUCUGUAUUUAAAUCAAAAAAUACUUUAAAAUCAAAUGUAUUCUACCAUUGGGGCCAAAAUACCCAUAAUUUCAUUUGAUUUUACCCAGAAAAACAUUAAUACUACCCAUAAAA
Long non-coding RNA from Phlebotomus papatasi, 1681 nucleotides. RefSeq lists it as uncharacterized. The transcript has 3 exons. The record is from RefSeq and is a predicted model, not a curated record. NCBI's taxonomy places the organism in Eukaryota, Metazoa, Arthropoda, Insecta, Diptera, Psychodidae.